CCACCUUUCUUUCUAUGUCGUAACCCUGCUUUGUCACCGAGACCAUAGGUACCUGUCUCCGUUAAGACGCGAGUCACCAUUUAAAUCAUUCCUCCAUGCAAGCCUUAUCUUUGCAAAGCUACCGCGCUACUUCUUGCACCACAUCUCUCCCCUAUCAAAACCAUAAUUGAAUCGAGGCAGCAACAAUGCAGAUGGAUAUGGACUAAUGUAGCGUCGAAGUAUACUGCCUUGUGCAGACGGGUAUGGACUAAUCCAUGGGAGCCAUAUCAUGUCAAAGUUUGAAGGUACGAAAAGGUAAUCUUGAUUAUACAAUAGAUUAAUGAUGGUUUUAAUUAAAACUAAUCUUAACCCUCUAUCUUAUUAUUGUAAGUUGCAUGCUCAAUAUUAAGUUUUCUAGUGAGAGUAUACUCUCAUUUGUCUAUACAUUUUCUGCAAAUAUACUUCAAAUAUCUGUCUGCUUGUAUACAUACAACACACUCAUGUAGAAAGACACUAAAGACUAUAGUUAAAUUAAGUAAGAUACAUGAGAUGGACAUGAUAUGAUAGGGAAGAUGGAAUACAAGUAACAUCUUACAAGCAUUGUUUGGUUUAAAACAAAAGGACAAAGUUCAAGUACUGUCCAAGUUUGACACACAGCUUUAUUCUUAUUCAUACAUUUGUUUUGUGUCAUUUACAAAUCACAAGCAACCAGAAUCAGAAUCAGGUGCAUGAUUCUUAACCCUUUUAAUUAAGUCAAGAACCUUUCGAACAAGUUCCCAAAGAAGAAGCUUACUCUAGCCCAUCCUCGAGACGUUUCUGGUGCUUUGGUGUUGGCUGGUACCUUCUUCACAUUGACCAUCACAGUCUGGCCGAUUUCUUUACGCAGUGCUUCAAUGAUGUUCAUAUCCACAGGGUUCCCAUAUGCAUCUCUCACAUAGAAAACAUUUAGUCCUUUCUCUCCUAUGGUUGACACACCUGCCCUACAAACUGUUAAGCCGUUCUCUCGUAGAAUCCUAGUCACUUCAGACAGCAAGCCCACUCUAUCCUUUGCACACAGCUCAAGGCUCACACCCUGUGUCCAUCACCCAGAGGAUCAAUGGUAACGACACUAUCAUCUUGUGUGUUAGUUUCUUCAUCAUUCAUUAACUAAUUAAUUAAUUUAUUGUAUGAAGAAUAAUUAAUGUAAAUGCAUGAUAGCUGGUCAAGCAUAAAUAUGACUGAUGGUGACAUGCAGCAUUUGUCACAUUCAACACUAUUAAUUAAUUAUAGUCCCUUCAAAAUCACGAUAGUUUAACCUUAGUCUAUAAAACUUUUACCAUCUAUAGUCAGUCCUGUAAGAUAUAAAAACUGUGGUUUCAGUCCUGUUGAAAACUAAUAAAAUUAUGCAGUUUUUGUUAAAUAUAGAGACUAAAAAUGAAUAAAAAAAUUAUACGGACUAAAGUUAGACAAUCAUGAUUUUAUAAGGACAAGAAUAUAUUUUAACAUUUUUUUCGUUCAUAUUUUGAGGUUAUAGGGAUUUGAAUGAUAUUACGUGUGGAGCAUAAGGAUUCUUAAGCUCUAGUGAAGACAAAAGACCAUCAACCGUCACCGGUGGAUACGAUGGUCAGAUACAAUCUGAGUGGAACUUAUCACCAUGUAUGUAUACCGUACCAUUCGCAACAAUACAAGCAGAUAGCUGCAGGUUCAAAAUGUAUUAAUUUGGUCAAACUCAGAAGACUUUCUGCUAAAGAAAAUGAGAAGAAAAGAAAAGAAUAGUAGAUCGCCGGCGUCAGCUAGAAUAACACACAUGAAGCUAUGGGGAAUACAUGCCAAGAGAAACAUCAAGUCACUAACCAAGUUCCAUAAUAGAGCAUGAAAGAAGAGUUGAGAACCAGAAGUUCAUCCUUGUCUUUUUUAGUAAUGGUUAAAGUAGCAUAAAAAAUAAAAUUUAAAAUGUACAUUACCUCGCUUACUCUUCUUUGAAUAGCUGCUUCAAUGCAUUUAAUGACCCUUUCUUUCUCCCCUUCAGUGUCAAGUGUGCAUCCAUCCACGUGCCUAAUGAAGUACUCCUAAUAAUUACCACAUCAACAUAGUAUUAGUUCCUCUUGGGAUAAACAACUUAAUUUGCUGCUUACAGCACAAGCGCUUAUCAUGAUAAAUAUACCGAAUGGAAUGUUGUUGUCAAUAAAUAAUGUAUGCAUACCUGUGAAGCAUAAGGCCCAUCAGAUGAGAUGGAGGCAUGAAAAACAACAUAUUCCAUGUCAGUAAGAGUGCAGACAAUGUCAAACAUCAAUUUUGCCCGAUCUUUGCAUCUCACACUAACCACUGAGUAGCCUUUUUCUUCAAUACGUUCUAUUUCAAUAUUGGGCCUGAAAGAGGGAGGAGAAUCAACAUUUGUUGCUGUUGUUACUCCACCAGCACUCUCAUAAUCCCUAUCAGCAAACAACAUUUGGUGGAGCCUUCUGUCCAUGUGGGUGAAGGUGAAACCCAUGGAGAAACUGGUCCGGGCCACAUUGUCAUCAUCCUCACAACCACGAAGGAUGUGGUUGAGCUUCUCGUCAAGAAGAGACAAUCUUUUUGAAUCAUCAUCCACAGCUUGGUUUGUUGCAUCAUUGACAUAAAGUACACAUGCUAUUCGCCUGUUAUGAGUCCAAACUUCAGCUGCAAUCACAUUGAAUUGGAAGCUUGCCAGGACAGCUGAUAUCUCAGACAAAAGACCUGGGCGGUCCCGACCAAUGAGCUCAAUGGCUGUAUGAUCACCAAUGGAGUGAAUGCCAACCCGUUUGCCUUCCCAACUCUUCACACCUUCUGGGCUCUUGCGGCCCUUUGGUCCUAGAGCCUAUUUAAAUGUUCACAACUAGUUGAUACAAGGGUGC
This 2834-nucleotide long non-coding RNA is filed under the name Medicago truncatula (barrel medic). Its description in RNAcentral is "lncRNA gene1387". Lineage: Eukaryota; Viridiplantae; Streptophyta; Magnoliopsida; Fabales; Fabaceae. The record is from RNAcentral.